AAUUCUCUUGGAUUUAUGUCUAGAAGCGGAAUUGCUGGGUAUGAACACCAUUUCAAAUACUGCUGAAAUAUUGUAUCCACUGUGCCUGGCCAGGUCAGGGGUGGAUCUUUAACCAGGCCUGAGGCAUGGCGCCGGGCUAUCUGCCCGUGGAUUUCAUUUCUGCCUUUUAGUUUUUACUUCUUCUUUCUUUAGAGGCAGAAAUUGGCAUAAGACAAUAUGAGGGGUGGUCUCCUCCCUUAGUUUAAAAAAAAAAACUAGAAAUGAAAGCUUCUACGUAGGAAUCAGACUCUUUACUGAUCAUAAGGAAAUCCUUGAAUUAUACUGUCUCGGUUGCAGUAAUCAAAAAUUCAAAGGCCAUACUAACUGGACGCAGACUCAGAAAACAGAAACAGGAAAACAAUGGCUUAAUUUAGUACACCGAAUAUUCUUGAUAUCCUUAUCAUUAACUGUAACUUAGUUAGCGUGAUAUUUUUGAUCCUUAAUUUUUAAACAUCGUAUAAAGAAUUUUCCAUCCAAAGUAACAUGAGGCAGAGCUACCUGAAUUUCAGUGGUGAUAAGACAAAAAUAUUUUGGCCCACAGCUUUUGCAGGAACACUCUGAAGGAAAGUUAACUCUGUGAAGUUUAAUUUCUAUCUUCCUUGGCCUACAUUUUUUUCUAAGGUAGUGAUUUUUCAGUGACCUGAAACCCAAGCUGCGCCUGCCCUUUUCAAUGACUAAAUGGUUACAAACCAAAAAAGAUUGAACACUGACUGACAGGGGAGAGCUAGCAACUCUACUUGCUGUGUUACUUCUCAAAGUGGGGUCUGGGAACACCCUGGGGUACAUGGAUCCACAGGAUACGGACUGGCCUC
Molecule: small RNA, 851 nt
Filed under: Pan troglodytes (chimpanzee)
Lineage: Eukaryota; Metazoa; Chordata; Mammalia; Primates; Hominidae
Description: sense intronic
Source: RNAcentral